RNAcentral lists this ribosomal RNA (373 nucleotides) under uncultured organism. RNAcentral describes it as "partial 16S ribosomal RNA". It matches the Rfam family "Bacterial small subunit ribosomal RNA", at positions 527 to 896 of the family's 1533-position model. The record is from RNAcentral.
GUAGGUGGCAAGCGUUGUCCGGAAUUAUUGGGCGUAAAGCGCGCGCAGGCGGUUCUUUAAGUCUGAUGUGAAAGCCCACGGCUCAACCGUGGAGGGUCAUUGGAAACUGGAGAACUUGAGUACAGAAGAGGAAAGCGGAAUACCACGUGUAGCGGUGAAAUGCGUAGAGAUGUGGAGGAACACCAGUGGCGAAGGCGGCUUUCUGGUCUGUAACUGACGCUGAGGCGCGAAAGCGUGGGGAGCAAACAGGGAUUAGAUACCCUGGUAGUCCACGCCGUAAACGAUGAGUGCUAAGUGUUAGGGGGUUUCCGCCCCCUUAGUGCUGCAGCUAACGCAUUAAGCACUCCGCCUGGGGAGUACGGCCGCAAGGCUG